GACGAACGCUGGCGGCGUGCUUAACACAUGCAAGUCGAACGGAAAGGCCCUGCUUUUGUGGGGUGCUCGAGUGGCGAACGGGUGAGUAACACGUGAGUAACCUGCCCUUGACUUUGGGAUAACUUCAGGAAACUGGGGCUAAUACCGGAUAGGAGCUCCUGCUGCAUGGUGGGGGUUGGAAAGUUUCGGCGGUUGGGGAUGGACUCGCGGCUUACCAGCUGGUUGGUGGGGUAGUGGCUUACCAAGGCUUUGACGGGUAGCCGGCCUGAGAGGGUGACCGGCCACAAUGGGACUGAGACACGGCCCAGACUCCUACGGGAGGCAGCAGUGGGGAAUAUUGCACAAUGGGCGGAAGCCUGAUGCAGCAACGCCGCGUGCGGGAUGACGGCCUUCGGGUUGUAAACCGCUUUCGCCUGUGACGAAGCGUGAGUGACGGUAAUGGGUAAAGAAGCACCGGCUAACUACGUG
RNAcentral lists this ribosomal RNA (468 nucleotides) under uncultured bacterium. RNAcentral describes it as "partial 16S ribosomal RNA". It matches the Rfam family "Bacterial small subunit ribosomal RNA", at positions 28 to 507 of the family's 1533-position model. The record is from RNAcentral.